UACGGAGGGUGCAAGCGUUAAUCGGAAUUACUGGGCGUAAAGGGUGCGUAGGCGGUUGUUUAAGUCUGUUGUGAAAUCCCCGGGCUCAACCUGGGAAUGGCAAUGGAUACUGGGCAGCUAGAGUGUGUCAGAGGAUGGUGGAAUUCCGGGUGUAGCGGUGGAAUGCGUAGAGAUCCGGAAGAACACCGGUGGCGAAGGCGGCCCGCUGGGCAACUGCUGACACUGAUGCGCGACAGCGUGGGGAGCAAACAGG
RNAcentral lists this ribosomal RNA (253 nucleotides) under uncultured bacterium. RNAcentral's name for it is "partial 16S ribosomal RNA". It matches the Rfam family "Bacterial small subunit ribosomal RNA", at positions 524 to 776 of the family's 1533-position model. The record is from RNAcentral.